This 71-nucleotide transfer RNA is filed under the name Patescibacteria group bacterium. RNAcentral's name for it is "tRNA-Gly". It matches the Rfam family "tRNA". From Rfam's summary of the family: Transfer RNA (tRNA) molecules are approximately 80 nucleotides in length. Their secondary structure includes four short double-helical elements and three loops (D, anti-codon, and T loops). RNAcentral also lists the same sequence under 1 other name. The record is from RNAcentral.
GCGGGAUUAGUUUAAUGGUAGAACAUCAGUUUUCCAAACUGAUAGCAAGGGUUCGAUUCCCUUAUCCCGCA